ACUCCUACGGGAGGCAGCAGUGAGGAAUAUUGGUCAAUGGAGGGAACUCUGAACCAGCCAUCCCGCGUGUAGGAAGACGGCCUUAUGGGUUGUAAACUACUUUUAUACAGGAAGAAACGUACCCUCGUGAGGGUGCCUGACGGUACUGUUGGAAUUAAGCACCGGCUAACUCCGUGCCAGCAGCCGCGGUAAUACGGAGGGUGCGAGCGUUAAUCGGAAUUACUGGGUGUAAAGCGCAUGCAGGUGGUUUGUUAAGUCAGAUGUGAAAGCCCGGGGCUCAACCUCGGAAUUGCAUUUGAAACUGGCAGACUAGAGUACUGUAGAGGGGGUAGAAUUUCAGGUGUAGCGGUGAAAUGCGUAGAGAUCUGAAGGAAUACCGGUGGCGAAGGCGGCCCCCUGGACAGAUACUGACACUCAGAUGCGAAAGCGUGGGGAGCAAACAGGAUUAGAUACCCUGGUAGA
This 462-nucleotide ribosomal RNA is filed under the name uncultured bacterium. RNAcentral describes it as "bacterial SSU rRNA". It matches the Rfam family "Bacterial small subunit ribosomal RNA", at positions 335 to 794 of the family's 1533-position model. The record is from RNAcentral.